AACACUGUUAACCUGCGGUACCUGCGGAGGGAUCAUUACCGAGUGCGGGCCCUCUGGGUCCAACCUCCCACCCGUGUUUAUUGUACCUUGUUGCUUCGGCGGGCCCGCCAUUCUGGCCGCAAAGGGGCACCUGCCCCUACGCCCGCGCCCGCCGAAGACAUCUCGAACUCUGUCUGAAGAUUGAAGUCUGGGUGGAAUUACAAAUUAGUUAAAACUUUUAACAACGGAUCUCAGAUCGGA
This 240-nucleotide unclassified non-coding RNA is filed under the name soil metagenome. Its description in RNAcentral is "partial contains 5.8S ribosomal RNA, internal transcribed spacer 2, and large subunit ribosomal RNA". The record is from RNAcentral.